GACGAACGCUGGCGGCGUGCUUAACACAUGCAAGUCGAACGGAAAGGCCCCUUUGGGGGUACUCGAGUGGCGAACGGGUGAGUAACACUUGAGUAACCUUCCCUUUACUUCGGGAUAACUUCAGGAAACUGGGGCUAAUACCGGAUAGGAAUCCUUGCUGCAUGGUGGGGGUUGGAAAGCUUCGGCGGUUUUGGAUGGACUCGCGGCUUAUCAGCUUGUUGGUGGGGUAGUGGCUUACCAAGGCUUUGACGGGUAGCCGGCCUGAGAGGGCGACCGGCCACAUUGGGACUGAGAUACGGCCCAGACUCCGACGGGAGGAAGAAGGGGGGAAUAUUGCACAAUGGGCGGAAGCCUGAUGCAGCAACGCCGCGUGCGGGAUGACGGCCUUCGGGUUGUAAACCGCUUUCAGCAGGGGAGAAGCUUGUGGUGACGGUACCUGAAGAAGAAGCACCGGCUAACUACGUG
RNAcentral lists this ribosomal RNA (465 nucleotides) under uncultured bacterium. RNAcentral describes it as "partial 16S ribosomal RNA". It matches the Rfam family "Bacterial small subunit ribosomal RNA", at positions 28 to 507 of the family's 1533-position model. The record is from RNAcentral.